Molecule: ribosomal RNA, 479 nt
Filed under: uncultured bacterium
Lineage: Bacteria
Description: bacterial SSU rRNA
Rfam family: Bacterial small subunit ribosomal RNA
Source: RNAcentral
UUUCGCAAUGCCCGAAAGGGUGACGAAGCGACGCCGCGUGGGUGAGGAAGGCCUUCGGGUUGUAAAGCCCUGUCAGGAGUUAAGAAAUGUAAGUGCGCUAAUAUCGCAUUUAUUUGACGAAGGCUCCAAAGGAAGCCACGGCUAACUCUGUGCCAGCAGCCGCGGUAAUACAGAGGUGGCAAGCGUUGUUCGGAAUUAUUGGGCGUAAAGAGCACGUAGGUGGGUUUGUAAGUCAGAUGUGAAAGCCUCCUGUUCAACGGGAGAAUUGCAUCUGAAACUACUGAUCUUGAGUGUAGGAGGGGAGAAUGGAACUUCUGGUGGAGCGGUGAAAUGCGUAGAUAUCAGAAGGAACGCCGGCGGCGAAAGCGAUUCUCUGGCCUAUUACUGACACUCAGUGUGCGAAAGCUAGGGGAGCAAACGGGAUUAGAUACCCCGGUAGUCCUAGCCGUAAACGAUGGGCACUAAGUAGAGGGGUUUUA